CCGUGUUCUGUGACUGACUCGGCUGGCACCCGCCGGUCUGUCACAGAACACGGGA
Non-coding RNA from Acyrthosiphon pisum (pea aphid), 55 nucleotides. NCBI's taxonomy places the organism in Eukaryota, Metazoa, Arthropoda, Insecta, Hemiptera, Aphididae. The record is from Rfam.